AAGCACACCGGUCACAGUGGACUAGGCCCAUUCUGAUGACUUCACCUAAACUCGAUCACCUCUCUAAAGACCUUAUCUGCAAAUAAGGUCCUAUUCUCAGGUCCUGGGGGUUAGGACUCUAGCAUAGCUUUUGGAGUGGGAGGGGCUGGGGACACAGUUCUACCCGUAGCAGGGACGUGGCAGGGGUAAGCUGAGGGAAGUCUUUUACGAUCACCCAGAAGUUCAUGAAUUACUACAGUCUCCAGAUGGCUUUUACAACGUGUCCCGGGCCGUUAAGGAGGCAGAAAUGAAGCGAUUCCGCUGGUGUCAGAGGAAGAAGCCACCCUAUUCUCCCAGUGUCAGUGACAGCAAAAACGUGGCCCAUCUUUCCCUGGAGCCAUAGGAGCCUUUAUGACAAAACCUGGAGAAGUUCUUGAACUUGGGACUUUAUGGAAGAAGUGAAACGUUAGAUGACUGGACCCAUAUUGGAAAUGAAAACCAUAAUGGCCUGAAAAAAAAACCAAAAACACUACUGUGAAACACAGGGAAAUUAUAAAAUUAACUUCUAUUUUCUACUUGAUUAAAAAACUAGUGAAAACCUUCAAAGAG
Long non-coding RNA from Homo sapiens (human), 588 nucleotides. RefSeq lists it as uncharacterized. The transcript is spliced from 2 exons. Lineage: Eukaryota; Metazoa; Chordata; Mammalia; Primates; Hominidae. The record is from RefSeq and is a predicted model, not a curated record.